CAAUCGAGCUUCUACAAUAAGCGGCCUCCUUUCGGCCUUCUACAAGAACUGAACUCCGUCUGAACUUCCAUAGUGGAUGGAUCUCAAACGAACUUCUAUAAUAGACAGGCUCCAGCAGCUGGAUUUCCACAACAGCCGACCACCUCUGAUGUCUGUCGAACCUCUCCAGCCAUCAACCUUCAAUAGCGUCAGUCAGACUUCAACAACACCCUUCGGACUUCCACAGGAUCCUCCAGACUCCUCCAGCGGACGAACCUCCCCAACGCCCCUCGAAGUCCACCACCGGCCAACCCUCUGCUAGAUUCUUCAUGAAAUCGAACUUCCCCAAUAGAAAGUCCCCAUCCGAGCUUCUACAACAGAUGACUCCCGCCUGCAACAUCAAUGCUCUAGGCACCCAACAACAGUAGACCCAUCAGCAACCUCGAAAACAUCCGAGCUUCUCUUAGGAUUGAUGAGACAGAGAGUCAUUCCGCUCCAUCAGAUAUCCCAGUUGAGCUUCAGUCGACAGAUCCAAACUCUCUGGCAAGUCACAACAAUGGCCACUACCCUACUCCACUCUCAGUAAUGGAUUCCAUGUGGCUCCACCACUCUCUGGCAAGUCGCGACAACGGACACCACUCCACUCUCCGUAACAAACUCCACAUGGCCCUGAACGGCCCACUACCAGGCGGUUACAGACAUUGCUACCAAUC
This 692-nucleotide long non-coding RNA is filed under the name Elaeis guineensis (African oil palm). RNAcentral's name for it is "long non-coding RNA (EGUI_LNC055960)". Lineage: Eukaryota; Viridiplantae; Streptophyta; Magnoliopsida; Arecales; Arecaceae. The record is from RNAcentral.